Macaca mulatta (Rhesus monkey) is the source of this 3023-nucleotide non-coding RNA. Lineage: Eukaryota; Metazoa; Chordata; Mammalia; Primates; Cercopithecidae. The record is from RefSeq and is a predicted model, not a curated record.
ACACUUCCUGUGAGGCCUCGGCAGCGGCGGCGGAGCAGCCUGGUGGUUGGAGAGAGCUUCCGAGAAGCCGUGGUGGGUUUCGCGUGACAGUGGAGGAGGAGGCGAGUCUCGGCUUUUGUGGCUUUGCCCGCCCAGCUGCUCUGUGCCAGGAGGAGGAGGAGACACCUGGAGCCUGUGACACCACGGCUUGCCUCGCUGAGGGUGGGUGGCAGUGACGGAGACUGCAGCGUGCUGGAACGGCUUUUGUGGCUUUGCCCGCCCAGCUGCUCUGUGCCAGGAGGAGGAGGAGACACCUGGAGCCUGUGACACCACGGCUUGCCUCGCUGAGGGUGGGUGGCAGUGACGGAGACUGCAGCGUGCUGGAACGGGAUAUCAGACAUUAAUGAACCAGUUAAGAAGAUACUGGGAUGCAGAAGAACUUUCCCAGUGUCCCGGGAGCCGUUCUACACAACAUCCUACACCAUGGCUUUGGAUCUGCUGUGCUUCAUUUCUUUACUUGUGAAAACAGAGUAACAGUAGCACCUGCCUCACAGGAUGGUUCUGAAGAUUAGAGGGUUCUUUCAUGCAGAGCUCUAGAGCAGCUUGAAUGGUAUUGAUUUACCUUUUUCAGAGGUUAAUUUUUCUGGAGGCUUUAUUCACUUGGAUUCACAUUGGUUGGAAGAAUGCAUGAGACCAGAUUUGUUGGUAGUACUGACACAGUAAUUGCUGUUGGCUUCCUGGUGAUGGAAAUGAGCUUCUUUGCAGCUGCUCUGGGAGCUCCCAGUCUUAUUGAUGAGAAAUAGUACCAGAAACCAACUAGCCUGGUACCUGUAUCAGUCAGAGUCCAGGCAGGAAACAGAAACCACUGCAAUCAUUUUAACAGAAAGAAUUUAAUAUAAACAAUUACCAAAGGGCAUCGAAUAAUUGAAAGAUAAACAGAGAGAAUUAAAGUAUUAUAGAAGGGUGCAACAGCAGGAAUUAACUACCAGCUCCUGGGUUGAGAAACAAAGGCAAAUAAUGGAAUUAUCACAAUUUAGAAGUUUGGAGGAGGAUCUCUCUGGGGGUGGAACCCAUGAACUUGAGGGGGUGGAAACAGACAAUUUGCCCUGAUGCCUCUUAGUGAAUGCAAGCUCGAUUUAACUGAAUUCAAAUUCUGCUACUGGAACAACAACUGCUUCUGAUUUAACUGAAGCAGUUAACUGCAAGCUAGAUUUAACUGAAUUCAAAUUCUGCUACUGGGACAACAACUGCUUCUGAUUUAACUGAAGCAGUUAACUGCAAGCUAGAUUUAACUGAAUUCAAAUUCUGCUACUGGAACAACAACUGCUUCUGAAGUCAUUGCUAAGAUGAUGCUUAUAGUAACGGAAAACCGAAAGGAAACAGACCUCAGUGAACAUCUUUCUUUUCCUCUGGCAGAAUUUAACGGGGAGCAGAGGGCAAAGCAGAAAGGUGGUUCACAGAGCCUGAGAUUGAUCAUAAUAUUGAAAGACACAGUCCUACAGGCUAUAUUCCCAAAUGUUGAAACCUCAAAGAUCAAAAUCUCUAAAGUUUAAAAUUCCUUGUGUAAAAUCCUGAUAAUCACAGUGAUAAGACAGUUGCAUCAUGUUAGGCGGAGCUAUUACCUUGUUAUUGUCCUUACACAGAAGAAAAUGGAUUUCAAUUGAAUCCCCAAACCAUAAUGACAGAUUUGGAACUAGGAAUGACUAAAGCUGCUGAAAGAGAAUGUGAAAGUAUUACCAGUAAGGUGUGUUUUUUCCAUUCAGCCCAAAGCAUUUGGCAGAAAAUUCCGAUGAAUUGAUUGAUCAUGAUCUAUAGCAAUGACAAAAACUUCAGUUAAAAAAUGCAUCAUUUGCCCGCAUUGACAUUCCUUUCAGCAGAUGACAUUUCAGGAACUUUUAAUAAAUUAAAGCCACAUUUGUUGAGGAAGCCAGCAAAGCUACUGGCUGGUUCAAAAAUAAUUAUAUGCAUGGUAGGAUAAGACACUUAUGCAGUGGUGUUACUAUUCGAUCACUAGUAUUAUUUCUGCCAAAUUUAUGGUCUAUGUAUAAAUGCAUGUAGAAUGGAUUUCUACAUACCCAAAACAACAUAGAAGCAUGACACGGAAGGUAGGAAGAUUUAAUAGGGAAUGUUUGUUUUGGUGUAUAUGGAAUCAUAGAAGAAUUUUGAAAAGAGCAGCACCAUGUAGAAAAUGAAUAUUCUCUGAGGAAGGCCAAGUCCUAAAAGAAAAAAAGCAGUUGUUCAUUGUGAUACAAGGCUUCAAUGUAUAUUUAAUCAUCAUGAAAUCCAGCCAUCCCUUAGUGAACUGUCUCCAUGCAAUUGCCCAUAAUCUUUCCCUGUAAUACACUAUUUCAUAUGUCAGAUUUCCUUUUUAGUUUUUCCUUUUCUUUUUCUCACUAUUUUAAAUUGUCAAAAUAUCUCUUACAAUUUGCUAUGCUACAUAUUUUAUCUUGCAUUAUUUUCAAUACUGGAAAUAUAUGUUAUGUAAGGACUUUUAGAGAGUUCUAAUUUGUUUUAUGCAUUUUUUUUUUUUUUGCAAAUUUGACUUCAUGAAAGUGCUUUAUCACAAUGUGACUUUGUUUGCAAUCUUUGUGUAUGUAUGUAAAAAUGUUGGAACUUCCUCAAUAAAUGAAGAUAUGUCCAUACAUCUGCGUUUGUGUAAGAAACAAUUUCUCAAAAUCUUGGCUCUUCAGACAGCUGCAUAUGUGGUUGUGAUUCAUCACAAUUUUUUCUGAUCAAAAGACUUGGGUUUUUAGUCAUGGUAUUUCAGAUGACUGUUGCUAUAAAGCUGGGUAUACACAUUACCAACUAUAGUGAUAUGUGUUUAUACAUUUCAAUUUUUGACCCACAGUUCACCUGCUCAUAACAGCCAUACCCAUGUGACUGUCAUUGGUAUACCUGAGUGUUUAUGCUUGCAAAAAUAUGUAUGUUAUUUUGACUACUUUAUUGUGUAAAGUGAUCUAUGAAGUGUUUUGUCAUGUUUUUAUAUGUUUCUCAAAUAAAUCCCCUUUAAAAUGCAAAUAAAUAUCUUUUAAAUAAUUUUAAAA